Molecule: ribosomal RNA, 162 nt
Filed under: Pseudoalteromonas shioyasakiensis
Lineage: Bacteria; Pseudomonadati; Pseudomonadota; Gammaproteobacteria; Alteromonadales; Pseudoalteromonadaceae
Description: partial 16S ribosomal RNA
Rfam family: Bacterial small subunit ribosomal RNA
Source: RNAcentral
UUUAAUUGAAGAGUUUGAUCAUGGCUCAGAUUGAACGCUGGCGGCAGGCCUAACACAUGCAAGUCGAGCGGAAACGAAGAGGUGCUUGCACCUUUGGCGUCGAGCGGCGGACGGGUGAGUAAUGCUUGGGAAUAUGCCUUAUGGUGGGGGACAACAGUUGGA